Molecule: long non-coding RNA, 221 nt
Filed under: Mytilus galloprovincialis (Mediterranean mussel)
Lineage: Eukaryota; Metazoa; Mollusca; Bivalvia; Mytilida; Mytilidae
Source: RNAcentral
GCCCACUCUAACGUUGUGUAUUCAUACGCAAACAUCUGUGUACGUUGUUAUUGGUAUUAAUAUAUAUCUUUGAGCAUUAUUUUUGAUAGAAAUUUAUUUAUAAUGAAUGGCAAUAAUUUAUUUUGAAUUUAUUGAACCAUAAAAUUAAUUUUUGACUGUUCACAUUUAACAUAAUCCACUUCGCGGAUUAUUCAAUGUGAAGAGUCAAAAAUUAAUUUUAU